CUGGCAGAUGAUCGCUCGCUAACCGCGAGAGGAAAGUCCGGACACCAUAGGGCAAUCCGCCGUUUGUUAAAAACGGGCGCCAGCCGUCAAGGGUUGGCGAUGGACAGUGUCACAGAAAACAAACCGCCUGUAAAAGGGUAAGGGUGAAACGGUGGGGUAAGAGCCCACCGCGCGAAGGGCAACCGAUGCGGCACGAUAAACCCCGGAUGGUGCAAGGUCGAACAGGAAGCAAUGGCGGCCCGCCAUGUCGCAAGGCAGCUUCCGGGUAGACCGCAGUCGCAAGACCGCCGCAAGGCGAGAUAAAUGAUCGUCACCCGCAAGGGGACAGAAUCCGGCUUACCGCCAACCAU
This 350-nucleotide RNase P RNA is filed under the name Verrucomicrobiales bacterium. Its description in RNAcentral is "RNase P RNA component class A". It matches the Rfam family "Bacterial RNase P class A". From Rfam's summary of the family: Ribonuclease P (RNase P) is a ubiquitous endoribonuclease, found in archaea, bacteria and eukarya as well as chloroplasts and mitochondria. Its best characterised activity is the generation of mature 5'-ends of tRNAs by cleaving the 5'-leader elements of precursor-tRNAs. Lineage: Bacteria; Pseudomonadati; Verrucomicrobiota; Verrucomicrobiia; Verrucomicrobiales. The record is from RNAcentral.